This 497-nucleotide ribosomal RNA is filed under the name uncultured bacterium. RNAcentral's name for it is "partial 16S ribosomal RNA". It matches the Rfam family "Bacterial small subunit ribosomal RNA", at positions 28 to 507 of the family's 1533-position model. The record is from RNAcentral.
GAUGAACGCUGGCGGCGUGCCUAAUACAUGCAAGUCGAGCGAACAGAUGAGGAGCUUGCUCCUCUGACGUUAGCGGCGGACGGGUGAGUAACACGUGGAUAACCUACCUAUAAGACUGGGAUAACUUCGGGAAACCGGAGCUAAUACCGGAUAAUAUAUUGAACCUCAUGGUUCAAUAGUGAAAGACGGUUUUGCUGUCACUUAUAGAUGGAUCCGCGCCGCAUUAGCUAGUUGGUAAGGUAACGGCUUACCAAGGCAACGAUGCGUAGCCGACCUGAGAGGGUGAUCGGCCACACUGGAAAUGAGACACGGUCCAGACUCCUACGGGAGGCAGCAGUAGGGAAUCUUCCGCAAUGGGCGAAAGCCUGACGGAGAAACGCCGCGUGAGUGAUGAAGGUCUUCGGAUCGUAAAACUCUGUUAUUAGGGAAGAACAAAUGUGUAAGUAACUAUGCACGUCUUGACGGUACCUAAUCAGAAAGCCACGGCUAACUACGUG